This 497-nucleotide ribosomal RNA is filed under the name uncultured bacterium. Its description in RNAcentral is "partial 16S ribosomal RNA". It matches the Rfam family "Bacterial small subunit ribosomal RNA", at positions 28 to 507 of the family's 1533-position model. The record is from RNAcentral.
GAUGAACGCUGGCGGCGUGCCUAAUACAUGCAAGUCGAGCGAACGGACGAGAAGCUUGCUUCUCUGAUGUUAGCGGCGGACGGGAGAGUAACACGUGGAUAACCUACCUAUAAUACGGGUAUAACUUCGGGAAACCGGAGCUAAUACCGGAGAAUAUUUUGAACCGCAUGGUUCAAAAGUGAAAGACGGCCUUUCGGUAAGUACUAGAUGGAUCCGCGCUGCAUUGGCUAGUUGUUAAGGUAACGGCUUACCAAGGCAACGAUGCAUAGCAGACCUGAGAGGGUGAUCAGCCACACUGGAACUGAGACACGGUCCAGACUCCUACGGGAGGCAGCAGUAGGGAAUCUUCCGCCAUGGGCGAAAGCCUGACGGAGCAACGCCGCGUGAGUGAUGAAGGUCUUCGGAUCGUAAAACUCUGUUAUUAGGGAAGAACAUAUGUGUAAGUAACUGUGCACAUCUUGACGGUACCUAAUCAGAAAGCCACGGCUAACUACGUG